This 62-nucleotide transfer RNA is filed under the name Mielichhoferia elongata. Its description in RNAcentral is "partial tRNA-His". It matches the Rfam family "tRNA", at positions 1 to 59 of the family's 71-position model. Rfam says of the family: Transfer RNA (tRNA) molecules are approximately 80 nucleotides in length. Their secondary structure includes four short double-helical elements and three loops (D, anti-codon, and T loops). The record is from RNAcentral. Lineage: Eukaryota; Viridiplantae; Streptophyta; Bryopsida; Bryales; Mniaceae.
GGCGGACGUGGCCAAGUGGAUUAAGGCAGUGGAUUGUGGAUCCACCACGCGCGGGUCAAUUC